GGUAAAAUGGCUGAGUAAGCACUAGACUGUAAAUCUAAAGACAGAGGUUUGAGUCCUCUUUUUACCA
This 67-nucleotide transfer RNA is filed under the name Suricata suricatta (meerkat). Its description in RNAcentral is "tRNA-Tyr". It matches the Rfam family "tRNA". Rfam says of the family: Transfer RNA (tRNA) molecules are approximately 80 nucleotides in length. Their secondary structure includes four short double-helical elements and three loops (D, anti-codon, and T loops). The record is from RNAcentral. Lineage: Eukaryota; Metazoa; Chordata; Mammalia; Carnivora; Herpestidae.